Molecule: ribosomal RNA, 446 nt
Filed under: uncultured bacterium
Lineage: Bacteria
Description: bacterial SSU rRNA
Rfam family: Bacterial small subunit ribosomal RNA
Source: RNAcentral
CCCAGACUCCUACGGGAGGCAGCAGUGGGGAAUAUUGCACAAUGGGGGAAACCCUGAUGCAGCGACGCCGCGUGAGUGAAGAAGUAUUUCGGUAUGUAAAGCUCUAUCAGCAGGGAAGAAAAUGACGGUACCUGACUAAGAAGCCCCGGCUAACUACGUGCCAGCAGCCGCGGUAAUACGUAGGGGGCAAGCGUUAUCCGGAUUCACUGGGUGUAAAGGAAGCGUAGACGGCGACGCAAGUCUGGAGUGAAAGCCCGGGGCCCAACCCCGGGACUGCUCUGGAAACUGCGGCGCUGGAGUAUGGGAGGGGCAGGCGGAAUUCCUGGUGUAGCGGUGAAAUGCGUAGAUAUCAGGAGGAACACCGGCGGCGAAGGCGGCCUGCUGGACCGUGACUGACGUUGAGGCUCGAGAGCGUGGGGAGCAAACAGGAUUAGAUACCCUCGUAU